GCGAACGCUGGCGGCAGGCCUAACACAUGCAAGUCGAGCGGCCGUAGCAAUACGGCAGCGGCAGACGGGAGAGUAACACGUGGGAACGCGCCCUUUGGUUCGGAAUAACUCAGGGAAACUUGAGCUAAUACCGGAUAAGCCCUUACGGGGAAAGAUUUAUCGCCAUAUGGAGGGGUCUGCGUCGGAUUAGCUUGUUGGUGGGGUAACGGCCUACCAAGGCGACGAUCCGUAGCUGGUCUGAGAGGAUGAUCAGCCACACUGGGACUGAGACACGGCCCAGACUCCUACGGGAGGCAGCAGUGGGGAAUAUUGCGCAAUGGGGGAAACCCUGACGCAGCGACGCCGCGUGGGUGAAGAAGGCCUUAGGGUUGUAAAGCCCUUUCAGUGGGAAAGAUUGUGACGGUACCCACAGAAGAAGCUCCGGCUAACUCCGU
This 434-nucleotide ribosomal RNA is filed under the name uncultured bacterium. RNAcentral describes it as "bacterial SSU rRNA". It matches the Rfam family "Bacterial small subunit ribosomal RNA", at positions 29 to 506 of the family's 1533-position model. The record is from RNAcentral.